GCGUAAACAAUUGCGCCAGCAGGAGUGCGUUGUUGCGGGUAAAGAGUGCAAAAAUAUUUGAAUAGGAAUAUGGUGCAGUGUUAUGCUCCUGGCUGCCAGCACCGCUCGGAUACUUCUGUGUACAAAUUCCAUCGUUUUCCAACGGACAGAAGUACUAAGUUUCGGUGGAUGAGGUACAUAAGACGGGCAGACAAAGCUCCAGAUGCUAACUCAAGAAUAUGUUCAUGCCAUUUCACCAAUGGUCUUAAGAAAGGACCAACACAUUUUCAAAACCGAA
Thalassophryne amazonica is the source of this 277-nucleotide long non-coding RNA. RefSeq lists it as uncharacterized. The transcript has 3 exons. The record is from RefSeq and is a predicted model, not a curated record. Lineage: Eukaryota; Metazoa; Chordata; Actinopteri; Batrachoidiformes; Batrachoididae.